Sander lucioperca (pikeperch) is the source of this 309-nucleotide long non-coding RNA. RefSeq lists it as uncharacterized. NCBI's taxonomy places the organism in Eukaryota, Metazoa, Chordata, Actinopteri, Perciformes, Percidae. The record is from RefSeq and is a predicted model, not a curated record. The transcript has 3 exons.
GAUUAAAAAAACAAAUUAAAACAUUCAAGAGCAGGUAAAAAUGAUAAAAAAAAAAAACAAAAAAACAUUUCUCCGACCACAGGUCCUUUUGGCUCAGGUGACUUGGUAUUUUCCUUACCCAUUACAAGAUUGCAGUAGCUCUACUUUUCACUACGAUGUAGCCGUCGCUACAAAGCUUAAUCUCGGUAAACCUUGCUAAAUCCGGGACAGUUCACAGUCUGUCUCUUGAUAAAUUCACAGAAAUAUCUGACAAGUUCACAGACGUUGUCUUUCUUAUUGACCUAGUUCACAGACUAAAUCUGACAUGUU